Molecule: ribosomal RNA, 253 nt
Filed under: uncultured bacterium
Lineage: Bacteria
Description: partial 16S ribosomal RNA
Rfam family: Bacterial small subunit ribosomal RNA
Source: RNAcentral
UACAGAGGGGGCAAGCGUUGUUCGGAAUUACUGGGCGUAAAGGGCGCGUAGGCGGCCUGUUAAGUCGGACGUGAAAUCCCUCGGCUCAACCGGGGAACUGCGUCUGAUACUGGCGGGCUUGAAUUCGGGAGAGGGAUGUGGAAUUCCCGGUGUAGCGGUGAAAUGUGUAGAGAUCGGGAGGAACACCCAGGGGGAAACCAGCCGACUGGGCAAGUGCUGACGCUGAGGUGCGAGAGCGUGGGGAGCGAACCGG